RNAcentral lists this ribosomal RNA (205 nucleotides) under uncultured bacterium. RNAcentral's name for it is "partial 16S ribosomal RNA". It matches the Rfam family "Bacterial small subunit ribosomal RNA", at positions 568 to 772 of the family's 1533-position model. The record is from RNAcentral.
CGUGUAGGCGGGAGAGAAAGUCGGGCGUGAAAUCCCUGGGCUCAACCCAGGAACUGCACUCGAAACUUCUUUUCUUGAGUGCCGGAGAGGAAAGCGGAAUACCUGGUGUAGAGGUGAAAUUCGUAGAUAUCAGGUGGAACACCAGUGGCGAAGGCGGCUUUCUGGACGGUAACUGACGCUGAGACGCGAAAGCGUGGGGGAGAAC